This 292-nucleotide ribosomal RNA is filed under the name uncultured Bacillus sp. RNAcentral describes it as "partial 16S ribosomal RNA". It matches the Rfam family "Bacterial small subunit ribosomal RNA", at positions 505 to 796 of the family's 1533-position model. The record is from RNAcentral. Lineage: Bacteria; Bacillati; Bacillota; Bacilli; Caryophanales; Bacillaceae.
GUGCCAGCAGCCGCGGUAAUACGUAGGGGGCGAGCGUUGUCCGGAAUCAUUGGGCGUAAAGCGCGCGCAGGCGGUCCCUUAAGUCUGAUGUGAAAUCUUGCGGCUCAACCGCAAGAGGUCAUUGGAAACUGGGGGACUUGAGUGCAGGAGAGGGAAGCGGAAUUCCAUGUGUAGCGGUGAAAUGCGUAGAGAUAUGGAGGAACACCAGUGGCGAAGGCGGCUUCCUGGCCUGUAACUGACGCUCAGGCGCGAAAGCGUGGGGAGCAAACAGGAUUAGAUACCCGAGUAGUCC